Molecule: ribosomal RNA, 722 nt
Filed under: Staphylococcus equorum
Lineage: Bacteria; Bacillati; Bacillota; Bacilli; Caryophanales; Staphylococcaceae
Description: bacterial SSU rRNA
Rfam family: Bacterial small subunit ribosomal RNA
Source: RNAcentral
GCGAACGGAUAAGGAGCUUGCUCCUUUGAAGUUAGCGGCGGACGGGUGAGUAACACGUGGGUAACCUACCUAUAAGACUGGAAUAACUUCGGGAAACCGGAGCUAAUGCCGGAUAACAUUUGGAACCGCAUGGUUCUAAAGUAAAAGAUGGUUUUGCUAUCACUUAUAGAUGGACCCGCGCCGUAUUAGCUAGUUGGUAAGGUAACGGCUUACCAAGGCAACGAUACGUAGCCGACCUGAGAGGGUGAUCGGCCACACUGGAACUGAGACACGGUCCAGACUCCUACGGGAGGCAGCAGUAGGGAAUCUUCCGCAAUGGACGAAAGUCUGACGGAGCAACGCCGCGUGAGUGAUGAAGGUUUUCGGAUCGUAAAACUCUGUUAUUAGGGAAGAACAAAUGUGUAAGUAACUGUGCACAUCUUGACGGUACCUAAUCAGAAAGCCACGGCUAACUACGUGCCAGCAGCCGCGGUAAUACGUAGGUGGCAAGCGUUAUCCGGAAUUAUUGGGCGUAAAGCGCGCGUAGGCGGUUUCUUAAGUCUGAUGUGAAAGCCCACGGCUCAACCGUGGAGGGUCAUUGGAAACUGGGAAACUUGAGUACAGAAGAGGAAAGUGGAAUUCCAUGUGUAGCGGUGAAAUGCGCAGAGAUAUGGAGGAACACCAGUGGCGAAGGCGACUUUCUGGUCUGUAACUGACGCUGAUGUGCGAAAGCGUGGGGAUCA